This is a non-coding RNA of Rhodotorula graminis WP1, 102 nucleotides long. The record is from the annotation of a RefSeq genome assembly. NCBI's taxonomy places the organism in Eukaryota, Fungi, Basidiomycota, Microbotryomycetes, Sporidiobolales, Sporidiobolaceae.
GAUCGUAUCGUCCAGUGGUUAAGACACCACAUUGUGGAGGCAACCAGCUCUGACCUGGCGUACUUUACUGUGGAGACCCGCGUUCAAUUCGCGGUACGGUCA